RNAcentral lists this ribosomal RNA (465 nucleotides) under uncultured bacterium. Its description in RNAcentral is "bacterial SSU rRNA". It matches the Rfam family "Bacterial small subunit ribosomal RNA", at positions 329 to 792 of the family's 1533-position model. The record is from RNAcentral.
UGCCAGACUCCUACGGGAGGCAGCAGUGAGGAAUAUUGGUCAAUGGUCGGGAGACUGAACCAGCCAAGCCGCGUGAGGGAUGAAGGUACAGAGUAUCGUAAACCUCUUUUGUCAGGGAACAAAGGCGGGGACGUGUCCCCGGAUGAGUGUACCUGAAGAAAAAGCAUCGGCUAACUCCGUGCCAGCAGCCGCGGUAAUACGGAGGAUGCGAGCGUUAUCCGGAUUUAUUGGGUUUAAAGGGGGCGUAGGCGGGACCUUAAGUCAGCGGUAAAAUUGCGGUGCUCAACGCCGUAGAGCCGUUGAAACUGGGGCUCUUGAGUGAGCGAGAAGUAUGCGGAAUGCGUGGUGUAGCGGUGAAAUGCAUAGAUAUCACGCAGAACCCCGAUUGCGAAGGCAGCAUACCGGCGCUCAACUGACGCUGAGGCACGAAAGUGCGGGUAUCGAACAGGAUUAGAAACCCCUGUA